GGGCACUUAGCUCAGCGGUAGAGCACUACCUUGACAUGGUAGGGGUCACAGGUUCGAUCCCUGUAGUGCCCACCA
Molecule: transfer RNA, 75 nt
Filed under: Hyphomicrobium sp.
Lineage: Bacteria; Pseudomonadati; Pseudomonadota; Alphaproteobacteria; Hyphomicrobiales; Hyphomicrobiaceae
Also listed under: 7 other names
Description: tRNA-Val
Rfam family: tRNA
About the family: Transfer RNA (tRNA) molecules are approximately 80 nucleotides in length. Their secondary structure includes four short double-helical elements and three loops (D, anti-codon, and T loops).
Source: RNAcentral